UCAUGGCAGCCGGAGCCAGUGUUCAGGAUCCUAGGAAGGAGCGAGGAAGAGUCCACCCAGGAGUGUGGCCCAAGUGCCUGGGAGGGGAGCAAGCAGGAGUUCGAGGCCUCCUGGGGUCGCCGACACACAUGGCAGCUGGGGUGCCUUCUGCUCUCUGGACUGGGCCCUGAGACUCACGGUUUUAGGGAUGCAACACUGAAGUCAGAGGGUAACAACACCAUGGUGUGAUAGAGGAGAGACGUGGAGGCUCCAGGAAGGUGUGUGGGGAGGGUGGCACAGCCACCCUCGAGAGGAAACUGACAGACCAUUCUCUGGAGAAGCUGCACCUGCCCCAAAGCCGCUCGCUUGCUCGCCAGACACCUGGAGGCUUCAGCACCCAGGAGAAUGCAAGGACAGAUGUGUGAUCAACCUGGGCCAGGGCCGCCACCCUCCACAGGGCACAGGGAUGCUGGGGCCGGGCUGGUCUGGUGUCCCAGAGCCACAGGCUUCCCAGGGCCAUUCACGCUCUGACAGCAGGCAUCUCUGGGGCACCUACUGGGAGGAGGGCUGGGUGGGCCUCUCCAUCCCCUCUCAUUUGUAGGACAGCAGAUGGGAAAUCCCUGAUAAUGGCUGAGGCUGACUCUUCAGCCAGCCUGGUAGGGUGGGGCUCUGAGCCAGACGUAACUUAAAGUAGGAAAAUAAAGUAAUUCCACGCUCUGAG
RNAcentral lists this long non-coding RNA (700 nucleotides) under Rhinopithecus bieti (black snub-nosed monkey). Its description in RNAcentral is "lncRNA (ENSRBIG00000045343.1)". The record is from RNAcentral. Lineage: Eukaryota; Metazoa; Chordata; Mammalia; Primates; Cercopithecidae.